RNAcentral lists this ribosomal RNA (491 nucleotides) under uncultured bacterium. RNAcentral's name for it is "partial 16S ribosomal RNA". It matches the Rfam family "Bacterial small subunit ribosomal RNA", at positions 28 to 507 of the family's 1533-position model. The record is from RNAcentral.
GAUGAACGCUAGCUACAGGCUUAACACAUGCAAGUCGAGGGGAAACGAUGAGAGAGCUUGCUCUCUUAGUCGUCGACCGGCGCACGGGUGAGUAACGCGUAUCCAACCUGCCUCUGACCAAGGGAUAACCCGUCGAAAGUCGGACUAAUACCUUAUGCAGUCGUCGGAAGUCAUCUGAUGACGACGAAAGAUUUCAUCGGUGAGAGAUGGGGAUGCGUCUGAUUAGCUUGUUGGCGGGGUAACGGCCCACCAAGGCGACGAUCAGUAGGGGUUCUGAGAGGAAGGUCCCCCACAUUGGAACUGAGACACGGUCCAAACUCCUACGGGAGGCAGCAGUGAGGAAUAUUGGUCAAUGGGCGUAAGCCUGAACCAGCCAAGUAGCGUGCAGGAUGACGGCCCUAUGGGUUGUAAACUGCUUUUAUGCGGGGAUAAAGUGAGGGACGGGUCCUUCACUGCAGGUACCGCAUGAAUAAGGACCGGCUAAUUCCGUG